RNAcentral lists this ribosomal RNA (556 nucleotides) under Acinetobacter sp. RNAcentral's name for it is "bacterial SSU rRNA". It matches the Rfam family "Bacterial small subunit ribosomal RNA", at positions 208 to 749 of the family's 1533-position model. The record is from RNAcentral. Lineage: Bacteria; Pseudomonadati; Pseudomonadota; Gammaproteobacteria; Moraxellales; Moraxellaceae.
AUCUUCGGACCUUGCGCUAAUAGAUGAGCCUAAGUCGGAUUAGCUAGUUGGUGGGGUAAAGGCCUACCAAGGCGACGAUCUGUAGCGGGUCUGAGAGGAUGAUCCGCCACACUGGGACUGAGACACGGCCCAGACUCCUACGGGAGGCAGCAGUGGGGAAUAUUGGACAAUGGGCGGAAGCCUGAUCCAGCCAUGCCGCGUGUGUGAAGAAGGCCUUAUGGUUGUAAAGCACUUUAAGCGAGGAGGAGGCUACUUUAGUUAAUACCUAGAGAUAGUGGACGUUACUCGCAGAAUAAGCACCGGCUAACUCUGUGCCAGCAGCCGCGGUAAUACAGAGGGUGCAAGCGUUAAUCGGAUUUACUGGGCGUAAAGCGCGCGUAGGCGGCUAAUUAAGUCAAAUGUGAAAUCCCCGAGCUUAACUUGGGAAUUGCAUUCGAUACUGGUUAGCUAGAGUGUGGGAGAGGAUGGUAGAAUUCCAGGUGUAGCGGUGAAAUGCGUAGAGAUCUGGAGGAAUACCGAUGGCGAAGGCAGCCAUCUGGCCUAACACUGACGCUGA